This 253-nucleotide ribosomal RNA is filed under the name uncultured bacterium. Its description in RNAcentral is "partial 16S ribosomal RNA". It matches the Rfam family "Bacterial small subunit ribosomal RNA", at positions 524 to 776 of the family's 1533-position model. The record is from RNAcentral.
UACGUAGGGUGCGAGCGUUAAUCGGAAUUACUGGGCGUAAAGCGUGCGCAGGCGGUUCGUUAAGUCAGCUGUGAAAGCCCCGGGCUCAACCUGGGAAUUGCGGUUGAAACUGGCGAACUAGAAUCUGGCAGAGGGGGGUGGAAUUCCACGUGUAGCAGUGAAAUGCGUAGAGAUGUGGAGGAACACCGAUGGCGAAGGCAGCCCCCUGGGUCAAGAUUGACGCUCAUGCACGAAAGCGUGGGGAGCAAACAGG